Molecule: ribosomal RNA, 557 nt
Filed under: Salmonella enterica subsp. enterica
Lineage: Bacteria; Pseudomonadati; Pseudomonadota; Gammaproteobacteria; Enterobacterales; Enterobacteriaceae
Description: partial 23S ribosomal RNA
Rfam family: Bacterial large subunit ribosomal RNA
Source: RNAcentral
CAAGACAACUUUACGGAGUUGACGAUUGACGGAGCGAAGCGACGUCAAAGCGUUCAUUAAAGUCGAGUUGGCUUAGGGAUACGUUCGUUGGGUAGGGGAGCGUUCUGUAAGCCUGUGAAGGUGUGUCGUGAGGCAUGCUGGAGGUAUCAGAAGUGCGAAUGCUGACAUAAGUAACGAUAAAGCGGGUGAAAAGCCCGCUCGCCGGAAGACCAAGGGUUCCUGUCCAACGUUAAUCGGGGCAGGGUGAGUCGACCCCUAAGGCGAGGCCGAAAGGCGUAGUCGAUGGGAAACGGGUUAAUAUUCCCGUACUUGGUGUUACUGCGAAGGGGGGACGGAGAAGGCUAUGUUGGCCGGGCGACGGUUGUCCCGGUUUAAGCGUGUAGGUGUGUGUUCCAGGUAAAUCCGGUUCACUUUAACACUGAGGCGUGACGACGAGGCACUACGGUGCUGAAGCAACAAAUGCCCUGCUUCCAGGAAAAGCCUCUAAGCAUCAGGUAACACGAAAUCGUACCCCAAACCGACACAGGUGGUCAGGUAGAGAAUACCAAGGCGCUUGA